RNAcentral lists this ribosomal RNA (461 nucleotides) under uncultured bacterium. Its description in RNAcentral is "partial 16S ribosomal RNA". It matches the Rfam family "Bacterial small subunit ribosomal RNA", at positions 339 to 795 of the family's 1533-position model. The record is from RNAcentral.
CUACGGGCUGCUCCAGUCGAGAAUCUUCCGCAAUGGACGAAAGUCUGACGGAGCGACGCCGCGUGCGGGAUGAAGGCCUUCGGGUUGUAAACCGCUGUCAGUGGGGAGGAAAUGCAUCAGGGUUCUCCCUGGUGUUUGACCGAUCCGCAGAGGAAGCGCAGGCUAAGUUCGUGCCAGCAGCCGCGGUAACACGAACUGCGCGAACGUUAUUCGGAAUCACUGGGCUUAAAGAGUUCGUAGGCGGCCUUUCAAGUCGGGUGUGAAAUCCCUCGGCUCAACCGAGGAAUUGCGCCUGAUACUGUAGGGCUUGAGGGGGAUAGGGGUGAGCGGAACUGAUGGUGGAGCGGUGAAAUGCGUUGAUAUCAUCAGGAACACCGGUGGCGAAGGCGGCUCACUGGAUCUCUUCUGACGCUGAGGAACGAAAGCUAGGGGAGCGAACGGGAUUAGAUACCCGAGUAGUC